GCUUGUCUUGAAUCAGAGAAUCUACUAGGAAAUAGGUUGCUGCAAAACUGCUUGCUUGAGAUUCCGUGUAUAAAGGACCUAUACCUUAAACCUAAGUUGAAGGAUAUUGUUUCAUUUAAUCAAAAUAGCCUUGAGCUUAACAUCCUAUUUCCCUUUUAUCUAGUUUGCUUAUAGCCAAGACAUAGGACAACCUAGACUAAAGUCUCAAAAACUCUGUAGUUCACUAUUUUCUUUCCUGUCAACCUUUUAUGAACUGUUAAUACUAUAAAGCAACAAUAUGUUAUUGCAGAAUGCAUUAAAUUCACUAGGGGAUGAUAUGUGUCAUUCAACAAUGUU
Molecule: unclassified non-coding RNA, 336 nt
Filed under: Hevea brasiliensis (rubber tree)
Lineage: Eukaryota; Viridiplantae; Streptophyta; Magnoliopsida; Malpighiales; Euphorbiaceae
Source: RNAcentral